Molecule: ribosomal RNA, 1245 nt
Filed under: metagenome
Description: bacterial LSU rRNA
Rfam family: Bacterial large subunit ribosomal RNA
Source: RNAcentral
UGAAUACGAGACGCUAAGGCGUCGAAGUAGUGUAUGUCAUACUUCCAAGAAAAGCUUGCACUGUCAUAAGUAAAAAAUGCCUGUACCAUAACCGACACAGGUGGGUAGGUAGAGUAUACUAAGGGGCGCGAGAUAACUCUCUCUCUAAGGAACUCGGCAAAAUAACUCCGUAACUUCGGGAGAAGGAGUACCUUAUUCUAUAAGGUUGCAAUAACAAGAUCCAAGCAACUGUUUAUCAAAAACACAGGUCUCCGCUAAGUCGUAAGACGAUGUAUGGGGGCUGACGCCUGCCCAGUGCCAGAAGGUUAAAGAAGCCGGUUAGCAUUAGCGAAGCUGGUAACUGAAGCCCUGGUGAACGGCGGCCGUAACAAUAACGGUCCUAAGGUAGCGAAAUUCCUUGUCGGGUAAGUUCCGACCCGCACGAAAGGCGUAAUGAUUUGGAUACUGUCUCGGAGAGGGGCUCGGUGAAAUAGACUUGUCUGUGAAGAUGCGGACUACCUGCACCAGGACAGAAAGACCCUAUGAAGCUUUACUGUAACUUGAAAUUGAAAUUGGACUUUAUUCGCGCAGUAUAGGUGGGAGGUGUUGAUUAUAAUCUUGCGGGAUUAUUGGAGCCAUCAGUGAGAUACCACUCUUGUAAUGUUAGAUUUCUAACUUUGAAUCAUUAUCUGGUCAAAGGACAGUUUCAGGCGGGCAGUUUGACUGGGGCGGUCGCCUCCCAAACGGUAACGGAGGCGUACAAAGGUUUCCUCUGAACGGGUAGAAAUCGUAUCUAGAGUGUAAAGGCAUAAGGAAGCUUGACUGUGAGACCUACAAGUCGAACAGGGACGAAAGUCGGUCUUAGUGAUCUGACGGUACUGAGUGGAAAGGCCGUCACUCAACGGAUAAAAGUUACUCUAAGGAUAACAGGCUGAUCUCCCCCAAGAGUUCACAUCGACGGGGAGGUUUGGCACCUCGAUGUCGGCUCAUCGCAUCCUGGGGCGGUAGUACGUCCCAAGGGUUGGGCUGUUCGCCCAUGAAAGCGGUACGCGAGCUGGGUUCAGAACGUCGUGAGACAGUUCGGUCCAUAUCCGGUGUAGGCGUUAGAAUAUUGAGAGGAGCCUUCUUUAGUACGAGAGGACCGAGAAGGACAUACCUCUGGUGUACCAGUUAUCGUGCCAACGGUAAACGCUGGGUAGCUAUGUAUGGAGUGGAUAACCGCUGAAAGCAUCUAAGUGGGAAGCCCACCUCAAGAUGAGUAUUCUC